UCAGAGGCAGCUUGUAAAUAGGAGCAGAAGAGGGGGAAAUAUUUGCAUACACCGAGCUCGGACGAAAGAUGAAACAAGCGGCAGGAAGAAAUACAGCUGCUCAAAACCAUCCAGAAAAGAACAUACAAGGGAAGGUCACAGUGACAUCCAUAACACUGUGCUCCUGAAACCAUCACCAUAGAUCCUUUUACCAAGACAGUUCGCCUUUAGUGCUUGUGGCUCUUUUUGGCUCCUAACAAAUGCAAUGGAUCAUCAAGCACAAACUUCAGUGCAGGAAAGAUUUGCAGCUGCUGGCUAACAGAUCACAAUGGACAUGAUGAGCUUCAGGAUAGAAAUCUUAGUAAAUCAGAUGCUACCACCCACAGGGAAAGAGAGUGGAAAAUUGGUGCUUGUAUUACUUUCUGGCAUGGCUGCUCAGAGGGAUGUUCUCAAAUUGCCAAACAAACAAACAAAAAAACUAUAAAAAAGCUUCAAAGGUAUUC
Heteronotia binoei (common prickly gecko) is the source of this 482-nucleotide long non-coding RNA. RefSeq lists it as uncharacterized. Lineage: Eukaryota; Metazoa; Chordata; Lepidosauria; Squamata; Gekkonidae. The record is from RefSeq and is a predicted model, not a curated record. The transcript has 3 exons.